This 710-nucleotide long non-coding RNA is filed under the name Daucus carota (carrot). Its description in RNAcentral is "long non-coding RNA (DCAR_LNC004176)". The record is from RNAcentral. Lineage: Eukaryota; Viridiplantae; Streptophyta; Magnoliopsida; Apiales; Apiaceae.
UGAGGUUUGGAAGGAGAUCGUGAACCAACCACUGAUGACUGGUGGUGUGUUCGCCGGAGAUGCUGCUCUUGGUGGUGUGAUGAGUGGCGGUGUGAUUGUGUAUCCGGUUGCUUAUGUGGUGAUUUUUCUUUUUACGGUGGUGAUUUUAUUUUGUAUUUGGUGAUUUUUCAGAUUUGUGGGUGGCGGUAGGGCUGGCAAUUUCGGGUUUCGGGUCGGGUUCGGGUCGGGUUGACAGUCGCGGGUCAAAAAAUUUACCCAACCCGAACCCGACCCGAAAUUUUAAUGGGUCAGAAUACCCAACCCGAACCUGACCCGCACUACCCGCGGGUAACCCGAACCCGACCUGAAAUUUUUAAUGGGUCAGAAUAUUAUUAAAUUUAACUAAUAAAUUUUAUAAAAAUAAUAUAAAUAAUAUAAAUAUAUAUAAUAUUCAUAUUAUAUAUUAAUUUUCGGGUAAUUUCGGGUCAAUUUCGGGUAACCCGAAUUCAACCCGAAAAUGACCCGUUUUUUCUGGGUUGAUUUUGGGUCAACCCGAAUUCGACCCGAACCCGAAAAACCCCAACCCGAAUUCGUAUUUUGCGGGUCGAAUUCGUGUCGGGUUGUCGGGUCGGGUUCAAUAUUGCCACCCCUAGGUGGCGGUGGUGGUUUUUAGAUGGUGGCAGUGUGGUGAUUUUAAUUUUUUGGUGUUGAUUUUUGGUUUUCUAGCGGUG